AAACCCAUGGAUCAGAUCCAUGGCUAUGACUCUAAGUUUUGUAUCCGUUUGAAUGAAAGAGUGCAAGUGAAAGAAAUUGAAGAAGUCGAAGACGAAGGAGAAAGAAGAAAUGAGUUUGAAGAAAAAGAAUGUUAAGAGGGGGGAGGGGGGAGCGAUGGCAAAGAGUUAUUUAGCGGGUGCAAAACCUGGCGGCGGUGUGGUUCCCACCCACGAGGGCCACUCGGUUACUCUUCAAUCGUGACCACAACAUCAUCAACUGCCUUAUCCUCUUCACCUCCAUCUCCGCCUAAUCGUCUCCCUUCUGAAUUACCCAGAUCGAUGGAUCGUGUUUGUCAAUGAAAAACUUAUCGUUGAUUUCCUAAACUACAUGAAAUGAAGAAACAGCCCCAUCAACGUUGUCUCACCAUCGACCCGGCCAGAAGGAAGGCGGAAGGAAGGUUUCAGCUUCUUUUUUUUUCCGGGCAGGAGGGGUGUGGAUGUGAAUGGAGAGAGAGGAUUUUAUGGGGGAAGUGUAGGGAAGA
This 521-nucleotide long non-coding RNA is filed under the name Actinidia chinensis (golden kiwifruit). RNAcentral describes it as "long non-coding RNA (ACHI_LNC007220)". Lineage: Eukaryota; Viridiplantae; Streptophyta; Magnoliopsida; Ericales; Actinidiaceae. The record is from RNAcentral.